This 484-nucleotide ribosomal RNA is filed under the name uncultured bacterium. RNAcentral's name for it is "partial 16S ribosomal RNA". It matches the Rfam family "Bacterial small subunit ribosomal RNA", at positions 28 to 523 of the family's 1533-position model. The record is from RNAcentral.
GACGAACGCUGGCGGCGUGCUUAACACAUGCAAGUCGAACGGAAAGGCCCUGCUUUUGUGGGGUGCUCGAGUGGCGAACGGGUGAGUAACACGUGAGUAACCUGCCCUUGACUUUGGGAUAACUUCAGGAAACUGGGGCUAAUACCGGAUAGGAGCUCCUGCUGCAUGGUGGGGGUUGGAAAGUUUCGGCGGUUGGGGAUGGACUCGCGGCUUAUCAGCUUGUUGGUGGGGUAGUGGCUUACCAAGGCCUUGACGGGUAGCCGGCCUGAGAGGGUGACCGGCCACAUUGGGACUGAGAUACGGCCCAGACUCCGACGGGAGGCAGCAGUGGGGAAUAUUGCACAAUGGGCGGAAGCCUGAUGCAGCAACGCCGCGUGCGGGAUGACGGCCUUCGGGUUGUAAACCGCUUUCGCCUGUGACGAAGCGUGAGUGACGGUAAUGGGUAAAGAAGCACCGGCUAACUACGUGCCAGCAGCCGCGGUAA